Molecule: non-coding RNA, 83 nt
Filed under: human gut metagenome
Also listed under: 1 other name
Description: TPP riboswitch (THI element)
Rfam family: TPP riboswitch aptamer (THI element) (bases 5-78)
About the family: Vitamin B(1) in its active form thiamin pyrophosphate (TPP) is an essential coenzyme that is synthesised by coupling of pyrimidine and thiazole moieties in bacteria. The previously detected thiamin-regulatory element, thi box was extended, resulting in a new, highly conserved RNA secondary structure, the THI element, which is widely distributed in eubacteria and also occurs in some archaea.
Source: RNAcentral
AAAACGGGGAGCCGGACGGCUGAGAGGAGGCAUUGGCCUCGACCCGCAGACCUGAUUUGGAUAAUGCCAACGUAGGGAAAUAU